CAGUAGCCGCGGGAAUACGUAGGUGGCAAGCGUUGUCCGGAAUUAUUGGGCGUAAAGGGCUCGCAGGCGGUUUCUUAAGUCUGAUGUGAAAGCCCCCGGCUCUACCGGGGAGGGUCAUUGGAAACUGGGAAACUUGAGUGCAGAAGAGGAGAGUGGAAUUCCACGUGUAGCGGUGAAAUGCGUAGAGAUGUGGAGGAACACCAGUGGCGAAGGCGACUCUCUGGUCUGUAACUGACGCUGAGGAGCGAAAGCGUGGGGAGCGAACAGGAUUAGAUACCCCCGUAGUCCCUGUCUCUUAUAA
RNAcentral lists this ribosomal RNA (301 nucleotides) under uncultured bacterium. RNAcentral describes it as "partial 16S ribosomal RNA". It matches the Rfam family "Bacterial small subunit ribosomal RNA", at positions 509 to 809 of the family's 1533-position model. The record is from RNAcentral.